This 372-nucleotide ribosomal RNA is filed under the name uncultured organism. Its description in RNAcentral is "bacterial SSU rRNA". It matches the Rfam family "Bacterial small subunit ribosomal RNA", at positions 526 to 896 of the family's 1533-position model. The record is from RNAcentral.
CGAGAGGUGCAAGCGUUAUUCGGAAUUAUUGGGCGUAAAGGGUGCGUAGGCGGCUUGUUAAGUUUGUUGUUAAAGACUUUGGCUUAACUGAAGAAAAGCAACAAAUACUGGCGAGCUAGAGGGUGAAAGAGAGAAGUGGAAUUCCCGGAGUAGCGGUAAAAUGCGUAGAUCUCGGGAGGAACACCAAUGGCGAAGGCUGCUUCUUGGUUCACUACUGACGCUGAGGCACGAAAGCGUGGGGAGCAAACAGGAUUAGAUACCCUGGUAGUCCACGCUGUAAACGAUGAUCACUAGAUGUUGGUCCGAUUUUUUGGAUCAGUGUCGUAGCUAACGCGUUAAGUGAUUCGCCUGGGGAUUACGGUCGCAAGACUA